This is a long non-coding RNA of Gallus gallus (chicken), 364 nucleotides long. Lineage: Eukaryota; Metazoa; Chordata; Aves; Galliformes; Phasianidae. The record is from Ensembl.
GCCAGACCUUGCUUUUGGUGGAAUCAGUGACUGAACUGCUUUGCUAAAGCAGAACAAAAGGGUCGACCUAUCAGUGAAGAAAGACCUAAAAAAAGAAAGCUUGUAGCCACCAAAUACAAUGUCUACAAAAUAGCAGUUAUAUUUAAGAAUGCCUCAGAAUGUCCAACACAAGUGGUUCUAAACAAUGAACUGCAAUGCCAGGAAAAGCACAACUGAAACCUCCCCAGCUGUGACUUCCAAAUGAUGGUGAAUGAAUGUUGCAAGGUCACCGUGGACGCCAUGAGAGAAAGCAGCCACAUCUAAGCAUUUUUAUCCUGUGCUCUCACUCACAAAAAUAAGAUCUAAGGAUGAGGAAAUUGGGGAG